Molecule: non-coding RNA, 75 nt
Organism: Hibiscus syriacus
Lineage: Eukaryota; Viridiplantae; Streptophyta; Magnoliopsida; Malvales; Malvaceae
Source: the annotation of a RefSeq genome assembly
GCCGUCUUAGCUCAGCCGGUAGAGCGCGUGGCUUUUAACCACGUGGUCGUGGGUUCGAUUCCCACGGCGAUGACG